This is a long non-coding RNA of Raphanus sativus (radish), 2595 nucleotides long. RefSeq lists it as uncharacterized. The transcript has 2 exons. Lineage: Eukaryota; Viridiplantae; Streptophyta; Magnoliopsida; Brassicales; Brassicaceae. The record is from RefSeq and is a predicted model, not a curated record.
UUCAGUUUCCACAGAUUAAGCAUUCUCUCUCUCUCUCUCUCUUUUUUAUUUGCUUUAAAUCUUUGAAGAAUCUCUUCUGGAUCAACUCCUCUUCCAGGGGUCUGCAAAAUCUGAAGAUUCGAAGAGUUUUUCUGAUUAAGAUCUUGGUUUAGGGUUUCGUUUUGAAGUGAAGCUUCUUGACUCACCACCAUCGUCGUCGGAGGUAAAAGAAAAACUUUGUUUGUUGUUUGGGUUUCUAUUUAUGAAAUGUAAAAUACAAUUACGAUCAUUAUUCACGACUCAAUACAUUCCAUUGCUAUAUCUGUAUGAUUUUUUCUGUUACUAAACUCUGUUUAUAUAUGCAUUAGUAUAUCUGUAUGAUCAAGUAAUAGAGAGAGAGAGAGAGAGAGAGAUGAACGUGAUGGAUAUAUACUACUUGGUAAGUUAAAAGAGUGAGAACCAAGAUGGCCCUUGAUCUACUCAGGUGUAAUCUCUCUUGUUUGUAUAAAAUGUCACGCAAGUCCCAUGGCUAGUGUUUUGAACAGAUGAUAGAUAAUAUCGCUUGCAGUUUCAGCUAAUCAUGGGAUGCAUUGGUUAGAGGACAAAACUCACUGGCCUUCCUUUUGGCUGUCUACUGCUACUAACUGUCCAGGUAAGUUCUCUGUCUAUGAAAUUAGUUUCACGUUUGUUAAUUUUUUUUUGUCUUUAGAGGAUGGAAUCCAAUGAGAACAAAGUCAAACGUAUAUGAUCAGUUCUCUUGGAUGAUGAUGUUUUAGGAUUUUGAAACCCAAAAAGGUCAUAAGCAACAACUAAAUCUUAUAGUGUUUGUGUCAGAUUCUUGUUUGGGUACAUUGUUGCCUCGGAAACUAGACCCAUAAGGAAUCUUGGUUUGGUAGUGCAUGUCUAAAGAGGGAUAUUAUGGGAUGGAUAAAAAGUCUUAAGAAAAGUACUAUAUGGGAUCUGUUUUUGAUUAGGUGGAGGAUAACGAGGAUUAAUAAGUCUUUUUAAGUAAUGAUUAUGAAUCUGAAACAGAUCCCGUAUAGGCAAAAAGACUAUGGGAAUGGAAAAGAAAAUAUGGACCAGCGGCUUAGGAAAAAAGUCCUUAGAUGGUUAAAACGACUAAGGGCUUAAUAAGACUUGUUGGAUGAAAAGCCAGAUUCCUUAUUUUUGCUACCCACGGCUUACAAAAAGGUGUCUAGACAAAGACCACAUGUGUCUGUUCUUAGACACCUAAGGACUAAUGACUGAAACAAAUACAUGUUGGAUGGGGGAAAAAAGUAUAAACGGCUUAAAGAAGAAGUCUAGAAGGCUUACAAAUCUCUAGACAAAGACCAGAUUGGUUGAUACUGGAUGAAAAUGAUUACCAGCAGCUUAAAAAGAAAGUCCUUAGAUGGAAAGACGGCUAAUGACAUAAUUUUAAUUCUUGGUGGAUGGGGGAAAAGACCAACAACAUCUCAAAUAAGUAUUAAGACAAAGACUUAAACGAAAAGCCACAUUCCUAACUUUUGCUACCCACGACUUACAAAAGGGGCUUAGACAAAUACAUAAGUCCUCUAGAAAAGACCAGAUGAAUCGGGUUUUACACAUGCUGGAUGGAAAACACAACCAACAGUUAAAAAAAAGUCUUCAUGUGACUAAUGACUUAAUGUUAACACUUGUUGGAUGGGAACAAAAAAUAACAACCUAGGGCUUAAGAAGUCUAAAACCAAAGACAAUGAACCAAAAGGCCUAAAGAACGCCAAUGGCUGACAAAGUCUUAUAUAGGGAAUCUUAAGACAAGACUAUGUAGGAUCUGUUUUCGAUCAUUUGGAUGGAGUCAAGGAUAACGAGGAUUUAAGAAAGCCUUUAAGUAAAGAUUAACAGAUCCCGUAUAGUCAUGAUUACAAGUUCUUAUACGGAAAAAACGACUAAGGGAUAUUAUAAGACUUGUUGGAUGGGAAAAAACGACCAACAUGUCCAUUAAGUCUUAAGACAAAGACUGAAAUGAAAAGCCAGAUUCCUUACUUUUUGCUACCCACGGCUUACAGAAGAAGUCUCUAGACAAAGAACAUAUGUGUAAAUUUUUUAGACAUGCUAGAUGGAAAAACGAUGGAUGUCUGAAACAAUACUUGUUGAACGGUUCAAAGAAGUCUAAAAUGACAUACAAAAGUCUCUAGGCAUUUAGACAUGAUGGAAGGAAAAUAGAGGGAUGGCUGAAACAAUAAUACCGAGGGAUGGCUGAAAUAAUACUUUUUGGAUAAAGAAAUGUACAGACAGCUUACAAACGUCUCUAGGCAAAAGACAAAGGGGGCUUUUAGACAGACAAAUAUCUCUAGAAAAAGACCAAAUGUGUCUGUUUUAGACAUGCUGGAUGGUAAAAACAACCAGCAGUUAAGCAAAGGAUAUACAAUGACUUGUUUUGCAGCUUGUUGGAUGGGGGAAAAAAACCAUCAGCUUAAGACAAAGUCUCAAAAAACUCUUUUAUGACACACAGACUAUGAGUUGGUUUCGUAAUUUGGCGGAUGGAACGAGUGACCACUCUUUGAAAGCAAUCUUAAGACGAAAACAACUACAAGUCUACAAGUGUUAAGACAGCGCUGAUAUUAGAAGUCUUUUGAUAAAACACUAUCAAAGGCU